This 253-nucleotide ribosomal RNA is filed under the name uncultured microorganism. Its description in RNAcentral is "partial 16S ribosomal RNA". It matches the Rfam family "Bacterial small subunit ribosomal RNA", at positions 524 to 776 of the family's 1533-position model. The record is from RNAcentral.
UACGGAGGGGGCAAGCGUUGUUCGGAGUUACUGGGUUUAAAGGGUGCGCAGGCGGUUGUUUAAGUCAGGGGUGAAAGCCCUAUGCUCAACAUAGGGAUUGCCUUUGAUACUGAACGGCUAGAGUGAAGAUGGAGUGGGUGGAAUGUGUUGUGUAGCGGUGAAAUGCAUAGAUAUAACACAGAACACCGAUCGCGAAGGCAGCUCACUAAUUUUCAACUGACGCUCAUGCACGAAAGCGUGGGUAGCAAACAGG